RNAcentral lists this ribosomal RNA (253 nucleotides) under uncultured bacterium. RNAcentral describes it as "partial 16S ribosomal RNA". It matches the Rfam family "Bacterial small subunit ribosomal RNA", at positions 524 to 776 of the family's 1533-position model. The record is from RNAcentral.
UACGGAGGGUGCAAGCGUUAUCCGGAUUCACUGGGUUUAAAGGGUGCGUAGGAGGGUAGGUAAGUCAGUGGUGAAAUCCCCGAGCUUAACUUGGGAACUGCCGUUGAUACUAUCUAUCUUGAAUAUCGUGGAGGUGAGCGGAAUAUGUCAUGUAGCGGUGAAAUGCUUAGAUAUGACAUAGAACACCAAUUGCGAAGGCAGCUUACUACACAGUUAUUGACACUGAGGCACGAAAGCGUGGGGAUCAAACAGG